Molecule: ribosomal RNA, 377 nt
Filed under: uncultured eukaryote
Lineage: Eukaryota
Description: partial 18S ribosomal RNA
Rfam family: Eukaryotic small subunit ribosomal RNA
Source: RNAcentral
CAAUAGCGUAUAUUAAAGUUGUUGCAGUUAAAAAGCUCGUAGUUGGAUUUCGGGGCAGCCUGGCUGGUCCGCCGCAAGGCGAGUACUUGUCAGCCGCCCUUCCUCUCGAAAGCCCCGACUGCUCUUCGUUGCAGUGGUCGGGUAGUUCGGGACGUUUACUUUGAAAAAAUUAGAGUGUUCAAGGCAGGCCUACGCCUGAAUACAUUAGCAUGGAAUAAUGGAAGAGGACCUCGGUCCUAUUUUGUUGGUUUCCAGGGCCGAAGUAAUGAUUAAGAGGGACAGUUGGGGGCAUUCGUAUUUAAUUGUCAGAGGUGAAAUUCUCGGAUUUAUGAAAGACGAACAACUGCGAAAGCAUUUGCCAAGGAUGUUUUCAUUAA